AGCGAACGUUAGCGGCAGGCCUAACACAUGCAAGUCGAGCGAGAAAGAGGUCUUCGGCUCCGAGUAAAGCGGCGGACGGGUGCGUAACACGUGGAUAAUCUGCCCUUCAGUGGGGAAUAACGUUCCGAAAGGAACGCUAAUGCCGCAUGUCACAGCGAGGCCUCCGGGUCACGUUGGAAAAGGGACGCCCGCAAGGGGUUCUCGCUGGAGGAUGAGUCCGCGGCCCAUCAGCUAGNGGCGGG
RNAcentral lists this ribosomal RNA (242 nucleotides) under uncultured bacterium. Its description in RNAcentral is "partial 16S ribosomal RNA". It matches the Rfam family "Bacterial small subunit ribosomal RNA", at positions 29 to 255 of the family's 1533-position model. The record is from RNAcentral.